Molecule: long non-coding RNA, 3079 nt
Organism: Gigantopelta aegis
Lineage: Eukaryota; Metazoa; Mollusca; Gastropoda; Neomphalida; Peltospiridae
Exons: 3
Source: RefSeq, a predicted model, not a curated record
UGCUACAGUUGACUGCCCAUGAAACAGGUUCAUCCGCAUUUCGGGAAUAAGUAGGUCAGACCAACCUAAACAACAGAGCACUAGCUUUAGUGUACCACUACAGGUUAUAACGUAGCCAGGGCGUGUCACAUCAAUAUCCACACCGACACACAGGUUCAGCCAUCUUCCUCGAUGGAUAAUACAUCUAAGCAGAGAGUCACGACGCAGUGGGAUCAGUCCAACGCCAAACCGAACGGACAACCGCACACACAGCCUACCGGGCAGCCGUCAAUCUACAACCCUGACGACUAUGACAGCAUAGUUGGCGACCACUUGAAACUGGGGUUCCUCAUCGUCUUCCCACUGGCCUUCUUCCUGAUGACCAUCAUUCUGAUGGCGAUCUACAGUGACGACUUUGACAAACCGAAGAUGUAAUAAAGACUGAAGAAGAACAUAACUGACAUGUCAUAUUAGACUGAACUUGCAAACACGGUGUACUGUACCUCGUGACGUCAUCUCACAAACGUAGUUUACCCCGUGUUCUCAGAUGUGUACUGUCGUAUUCCUGCUAAGCAUGCGCACCGCAUUUGUACAUACAGGUGUGUAGUGAAAGGAGCACUUUUAAAAAGUUCAUUUACAAGAUCUACUCGGAUGUUAUAGUGUUUUUCAUGUUAAACAUUAUUACAGAAAUAGUCACAAAUGUAGAUGGGAGAUAUUUAGAGAAUCGUACUCAACGAGCUACAAGGCAAUACCGUUUAUAAUUCACGAGUGCAAGAUAAACGGUAUUGCCGUGUAGCGAGUUGGGUAUUGCUACUCAGUAUCAAUCUUUUAUCUUGUGGAAGAUUUUCAAACGAUACUUUUAUUGAAAACAGGUUUGUAAGUUGAGAACAUAUUGAGUUGUAAUAGCCACCACUUCUCUCUGCCCAUAUAUGGGUAUUGAGUUGUAAUAGCCACCACUUGUCUCUGCUCAUAUGGGUAUUGAGUUGUAAUAGCCACCACUUGUCUCUGCCCAUAUAUGGGUAUUGAGUUGUAAUAGCCACCACUUGUCUCUGCCCAUAUAUGGGUAUUGAGUUGUAAUAGCCACCACUUCUCUCUGCCCAUAUGGGUAAUGAGUUGUAAUAGCCACCACUUCUCUCUGCCCAUAUGGGUAAUGAGUUGUAAUAGCCACCACUUCUCUCUGCCCAUAUGGGUAAUGAGUUGUAAUAGCCACCACGCUUUCCAUAUAAAACUAUUUUACAUCUGAAUGUAACACCACCCAAACACUCGCAACCAGCUGUACUUUUGGAUGCUCUUUAUAGCUGCUCGAUAGCCCGAGUACUCUGCUGUUUAAGAGCUUGGCGGACUUUUGGACGGUUAUGAUCAUAAUGUCCCUCUAGCUCUCGAACGGCAGAGUACUCGGGAUAGCUGGUCGACAGAUACUUUGGACUUGGAACGGUGGAAUCUUACAUAUGCAGGUAUCAGUAAUUUUUUUCUUCCAUCCCUAAAUAUAUAAGAUGGACAUAUUCCAUGUUUGGACCCUAUACACCUGUCUUGGUUUACAACGUGUCAUACAACGGAUCUUUAUGACCACGUCCAGAAAAGCCGAUACUUCACUUCAAACGUGCAGAUGACUUCACCGUAUAUUUAUGGGACAGGUCUAUUUUAAUGAUUUUAAACAGAACUAGACUUAAUCAUAUGUCAUCUCAAACUGGGGUUUAUAUUUUAUUAUAAGCCAUUCUUAAUAUCUUUCUACAGAUAAUUAUUAUAAAGUUAUAAACGUUUGUAUAAAAUUAGAGAGAAAAUUUUCGCCAUGUUCAAGGGGAAAACAUAAAUGUUUCAGUCAACUGAUUUAACGUGUUUACAUCCAAUUAAAGUUCAAACACGCUCGUUGUGGGCACACUCUCUGACAUAGCCAGAAUCUGCACUGAAGACGAGCGGAAUCUUUGCACGUGAACCGAUGUGGGGUAAUGCUAUUCCACCCUAGCAUGCAUGCUCUUUUACGUCAGAAGCUCAGCAAGCCUAGUCCUUGACGAAACGUGUACCCUCUUGUGGGAUAGUUAACACUUUUCUCUCUUAUAGACCGGCUUCAGAAUGAGCUAAGUGCCACCCGGAGAGAACAUUAUGUAGACCUAUUUUUUUGUAUUCCUAAUCAUAUAUAUUAACAAAAACGUUUUGGUAAAUGGUCUUCUGGUGGUGGGUGUGGCAAAUAUGGGGUUCAAAGUGGGACCCCCAACCAAAAGCAGGGUCGUCUACUAAUAGCACUAUUGGGAGAGCAAACAACUGGGAGAACCUUUUAAAUGAUGAUAGAAACAUCAAACUUGGCAUACAUGAUCUCCCUGGGGCGUUCGUCAAAUCCAAUCAAAGAAUCACUUGAAUUUUCAAGAAGGUCGCUAUACUGUCCUACCAAUGUUCAUUAUUGAGAUAUAUUUUAAUAGUUUUUCAAUAUUAGUCAUUUUAUAUUAUUUUUAUAUGUUUAGAAACAUGCUGAACCUAACGUCUGAUAUGUGCAAAAAGUCUGAUGAUGGGAGUGCCAAAUAUUGGGGGUCAGUGUAUGGCAAUCUCCAUAAAACAUGGUCAUCUACUAUUAGCACUACUAGCAGAGCAAUAACAGAAAUGACCUUUUAAAUUGUGAUACAAGCAUGCAACUUUACACAGAUGAGGUCUUUGGGGAAUUCUUCAAAUUCAGUCAAUGAGUAACUUGAAAUAUUAAUAUGGCGGUAAUUGUUCAAGAUGGCCGCCAUUUUUUUCCAACCAUUGUCUGUUAUUGACAUGUAUAAUAAUACCUUGUCUGUUUUUAGCUAUGUCGGUGACUUUUUAUGCACUGGUAUUUAAAAGCAUGCUGAAAGUAAUUAUAUUUAAAAUACAAUCAAAAUUAAUGAUUUUGUUCAAAACGUUUGCCAUAUUUCCAGCAAACAUAGUCACCAGCUACAAUAGAAGAACAGAAGCUGGUACCAGUAUACCGUAUUCCAUAAACAAACCACUUUAUGAUCAAACAUGCACAGAUGAUUUCCUUGGGACAUUCUUCAAAUCCAAUCAAUGAACCACUUGAAUUGUCAAUAAUAUGGUGGCCAUUUUAUUCCACCAAUGUCCAUUAUUAACAUUAAUAAAGUUGGCAGACUUU